GAGUGUAUAGCUCAAGUGGUAGAGUGCAUGCUUAGCAUGCAUGAGGUCCUGGGUUCAAUCCCCAGGACCUCCU
This 73-nucleotide transfer RNA is filed under the name Camelus bactrianus (Bactrian camel). It matches the Rfam family "tRNA". Rfam says of the family: Transfer RNA (tRNA) molecules are approximately 80 nucleotides in length. Their secondary structure includes four short double-helical elements and three loops (D, anti-codon, and T loops). Lineage: Eukaryota; Metazoa; Chordata; Mammalia; Artiodactyla; Camelidae. RNAcentral also lists the same sequence under 2 other names. The record is from Rfam by way of RNAcentral.